AGCGGCAGGCUUAACACAUGCAAGUCGAGGGGUAACAGGGAUUGCUUGCAAUCCGCUGACGACCGGCGCACGGGUGCGUAACGCGUAUGCAACCUACCUUUUACAGGGGGAUAGCCCAGAGAAAUUUGGAAUAAUACCCCAUACGAUCAUUAAUUGGCAUCAAUUAAUGAAGAAAACUCCGGUGGUAAAAGAUGGGCAUGCGUCCUAUUAGUUAGUUGGUAAGGUAAUGGCUUACCAAGACUUCGAUAGGUAGGGGUCCUGAGAGGGAGAUCCCCCACACUGGUACUGAGACACGGACCAGACUCCUACGGGAGGCAGCAGUGAGGAAUAUUGGACAAUGGAGGCAACUCUGAUCCAGCCAUGCCGCGUGCAGGAAGACGGCCCUACGGGUUGUAAACUGCUUUUAUACAGGAAGAACUAUACCUACGUGUAGGUAUUUGACGGUACUGUACGAAUAAGGAUCGGCUAACUCCGUGCCAGCAGCCGCGGUAAUACGGAGGAUCCAAGCGUUAUCCGGAAUCAUUGGGUUUAAAGGGUCCGUAGGCGGUCUGAUAAGUCAGAGGUGAAAUCCUGCAGCUCAACUGUAGCAUUGCCUUUGAUACUGUUAGACUUGAGUUAUUGUGAAGUAGUUAGAAUGUGUAGUGUAGCGGUGAAAUGCAUAGAUAUUACACAGAAUACCGAUUGCGAAAGCAGAUUACUAACAAUAUACUGACGCUGAGGGACGAAAGCGUGGGUAGCGAACAGGAUUAGAUACCCUGGUAGUCCACGCCGUAAACGAUGGAUACUAGCUGUUCGACCAACAUUGGUUGGUUGAGUGGCUAAGCGAAAGUGAUAAGUAUCCCACC
RNAcentral lists this ribosomal RNA (845 nucleotides) under uncultured Flavobacteriaceae bacterium. RNAcentral describes it as "bacterial SSU rRNA". It matches the Rfam family "Bacterial small subunit ribosomal RNA", at positions 38 to 873 of the family's 1533-position model. Lineage: Bacteria; Pseudomonadati; Bacteroidota; Flavobacteriia; Flavobacteriales; Flavobacteriaceae. The record is from RNAcentral.